RNAcentral lists this ribosomal RNA (200 nucleotides) under uncultured bacterium. RNAcentral describes it as "partial 16S ribosomal RNA". It matches the Rfam family "Bacterial small subunit ribosomal RNA", at positions 8 to 238 of the family's 1533-position model. The record is from RNAcentral.
AGAGUUUGAUCCUGGCUCAGAGCGAACGCUGGCGGCAUGCCUAACACAUGCAAGUCGAACGCCCCGCAAGGGGAGUGGCGGACGGGUGAGUAACGCGUGGGAACCUGCCCUUUGGUUCGGGAUAACCCGGCGAAAGCCGUGCUAAUACCGGAUGUGUCCUGUGGGAGAAAGAUUUAUCGCCAAAGGAUGGGCCCGCGUCG